CACACACACACACACACACACACACACAGUCAGGACACACACCUGGACUCUGUUCCAGAAAACAGGUGGUACAAGUGUGUACAGGUGAGUCAGGUGUGUACAUGUGUUAUUAGUCAGGUGUGUACAUGUGUUAUUAGUCAGGUGGUACAGGUAUGUACAGGUGUUAUGAGUCAGGUAUGUACAGGUGUUAUGAGUCUGGUGUGUACAGGUGUAUACAGGUGUGAUGAGUCAGGUGGUACGGGUGAGUCGGUUGGUAAAGGUAUGUACAGGUGUUAUGAGUCAGGUGGUACAGGUGUGAUGAGUCAGGUGGUACAGGUGUGAUGAGUCAGGUGGUACAGGUGAGUCAGUUGGUAAAAGUGUGUACAGGUGUUAUGAGUCAGGUGGUACAGGUGAAUACAGGUGUGAUGAGUCAGGUGGUACAGGUGAAUACAGGUGUUAUGAGUCAGGUGGUACAGGUGUGAUGAGUCAGGUGGUACAGGUAUGUACAGGUGUUAUGAGUCAGGUGUGUACAGGUGUUAUGAGUCUGGUGUGUACAGGUGUAUACAGGUGUGAUGAGUCAGGUGGUACAGGAGUGAUGAGUCAGGUGGUACAGGUGUAUACAGGUGUGAUGAGUCAGGUGGUACAGGUGAGUCAGUUGGUAAAGGUGUGUACAGGUGUUAUGAGUCAGGUGGUACAGGUAUGUACAGGUGUUAUGAGUCAGAUGGUACAGGUGAAUACAGGUGUGAUGAGUCAGGUGGUACAGGUGAGUCAGUUGGUAAAGGUGUGUACAGGUGUUAUGAGUCAGGUGGUACAGGUAUGUACAGGUGUUAUGAGUCAGAUGGUACAGGUGAAUACAGGUGUGAUGAGUCAGGUGGUACAGGUGAGUCAGUUGGUAAAGGUGUGUACAGGUGUUAUGAGUCAGG
Molecule: long non-coding RNA, 902 nt
Organism: Thunnus maccoyii (southern bluefin tuna)
Lineage: Eukaryota; Metazoa; Chordata; Actinopteri; Scombriformes; Scombridae
Exons: 3
Source: RefSeq, a predicted model, not a curated record